RNAcentral lists this ribosomal RNA (207 nucleotides) under uncultured bacterium. RNAcentral describes it as "partial 16S ribosomal RNA". It matches the Rfam family "Bacterial small subunit ribosomal RNA", at positions 568 to 774 of the family's 1533-position model. The record is from RNAcentral.
UGCGUAGGUGGUUGGUUAAGUUUGAGGUGAAAGCUCCGAGCUCAACUCGGAAAAUGCCUUGAAGACUAUCUGACUAGAGGAUUGGAGGGGAGAUUGGAAUUCUCGGUGUAGCAGUGAAAUGCGUAGAUAUCGAGAGGAACACCAGUGGCGAAGGCGAACCUCUGGACAAUUCCUGACACUGAGGCACGAAAGCCAAGGGAGCAAACG